CAGCAGCCGCGGGAAUACAGAGGGUGCGAGCGUUAAUCGGAUUUACUGGGCGUAAAGCGUGCGUAGGCGGCUUGUUAAGACGGAUGUGAAAUCCCUGAGCUUAACUUAGGAAUUGCAUUCGAUACUGGGAAGCUAGAGUAUGGGAGAGGAUGGUAGAAUUCCAGGUGUAGCGGUGAAAUGCGUAGAGAUCUGGAGGAAUACCGAUGGCGAAGGCAGCCAUCUGGCCUAAUACUGACGCUGAGGUACGAAAGCAUGGGGAGCAAACAGGAUUAGAUACCCCAGUAGUCCCUGUCUCUUAUAA
Molecule: ribosomal RNA, 301 nt
Filed under: uncultured bacterium
Lineage: Bacteria
Description: partial 16S ribosomal RNA
Rfam family: Bacterial small subunit ribosomal RNA
Source: RNAcentral